Molecule: ribosomal RNA, 126 nt
Filed under: Auriculariales sp.
Lineage: Eukaryota; Fungi; Basidiomycota; Agaricomycetes; Auriculariales
Description: partial small subunit ribosomal RNA
Rfam family: Eukaryotic small subunit ribosomal RNA
Source: RNAcentral
CCUUUGUACACACCGCCCGUCGCUACUACCGAUUGAAUGACCAAGUGAGGCCUUCGGAUCGGCUGGCGAGGUGCCGGAAACGGCGUCUUCUGGCCGAGAAGCCGGUCAAACUUGGCUGUUUAGAGG